RNAcentral lists this ribosomal RNA (470 nucleotides) under uncultured bacterium. Its description in RNAcentral is "bacterial SSU rRNA". It matches the Rfam family "Bacterial small subunit ribosomal RNA", at positions 328 to 794 of the family's 1533-position model. The record is from RNAcentral.
UUUCCAGACUCCUACGGGAGGCAGCAGUGAGGAAUAUUGGUCAAUGGGCGGGAGCCUGAACCAGCCAAGCCGCGUGAGGGAAGAAGGUACAGCGUAUCGUAAACCUCUUUUGUCAGGGAGCAACGCCGGCUACGUGUAGCCGGACUGAGAGUACCUGAAGAAAAAGCAUCGGCUAACUCCGUGCCAGCAGCCGCGGUAAUACGGAGGAUCCGAGCGUUAUCCGGAUUUAUUGGGUUUAAAGGGAGCGUAGAUGGGUUGUUAAGUCAGUUGUGAAAGUUUGCGGCUCAACCGUAAAAUUGCAAUUGAUACUGGCAGCCUUGAGUACAGUUGAGGUAGGCGGAAUUCGUGGUGUAGCGGUGAAAUGCUUAGAUAUCACGAAGAACUCCGAUUGCGAAGGCAGCCUACUAAACUGCCACUGACAUUGAUGCUCGAAAGUGUGGGUAUCAAACAGGAUUAGAUACCCUCGUAAG